This 4751-nucleotide long non-coding RNA is filed under the name Sus scrofa (pig). Its description in RNAcentral is "lncRNA (ENSSSCG00065002697.1)". Lineage: Eukaryota; Metazoa; Chordata; Mammalia; Artiodactyla; Suidae. The record is from RNAcentral.
UACCCUCUAAGUCAUCUUUCCAUUUUCAGGAAAGGUAGUAUGAAUUCUCAACUGAGUGCUUUUCCUCAGUUGAUUUCCUGACAGUAGAACUUAUGGCUCCAACAACUUCAUAGCAUUUUAUAUAAUCUCUGCCCCCUUCUGACCAGAAAUGUUUCUGCAUGCGUUAUUCUGUCUUUCAAACUCUGUGUCUUCUGUGAAUCUUUGUGAGGUUCACUUCAUUAGACACAGCCAGACCCUCACAAAUCUCUUUAAAAUAAACCCUUCCCUAUCUUGAGUUCUGAUGAAACUGUUAGAGACAGUGCUUGUAGACCUCUUAGGAGCCCUACUGUUUGACCGAAUGGAUCUGGGAGACACACACUUAAACACCUUGAAGGCCUUCACUCUGACUAAAAGAGAUUCCAAGUGGCCGCAUGUGAUCUUCAUGAGUUCUUAAAGGAUUUUACAGUCACAUCUUUGUCUUCAUUGUUAGACCAUAGUUUCCCGAAAGUGCCUUCGUUUCCUCUUUAAUGCAAUUUGAUCUUAAUUGUAGCACUAUUUUCCAGAAAAAGAGACUGACAUUAUUCAGAGCCCUCAAGUCCUUGUGGCUUUUUGUUAACCGUUUUUCUUCAGUUUGCCUCUCUCCUUUCACAUUUUCUAUAAGAAGGAAUAAACCAGGAGUCACCUUCAAAAAUUUUUUUGAAAUCUCUUAAGUUGAUGAACCAGUUCAUUAGGCCCAUUUUCUACUGCAGACAACAGUGUUGCUAAGCCUAAUGCCACCAUAUAAGAAAGUUUCCCUUUUCUUUAGUUUCCAACAAUAUUUACCUCACUUUCUUACAAACCCCUGCUUAUAGCCUUACCAAACAUCAUAUGGCUUCAACUAAAAGCUUUUUUAAGAUAUUAAAGAAAUUAAAUUUGUAGUUAGAAAACUUUCAAAAAGAAAUCUCUAAUUCCAGAUGGUUUUAAUGGUUAAUUCUACUGAACAUUUGUUUUAAAAGUAACACCAAUUCUACAUAAUCUUUUCCAGAAAACAGAAGAACACACUUUGCAACUAAUUUUAGGAGGCUGGCAUUACCCUCUACCAAAACCAAAGUCAGUAUAAAAGGGAAAACAUAGACCAAUAUAUCUCAUGAAUAUAGAUGUAAAAUCAACAAAAUAUUAGCAAAUUGAAUCCAGCAAUAUAUAAAAAGAAUAAUGUAAUAUGACCAGUGAGGUUUAAUUUAAGAAAUGCAAGGCUAGUUCAAUAUUCCAAAAUCAAUGUAAUCCACCAUAACAAGCUAAGAAAGAAAACCACAUGACUCUACCAAUUCAUGCAGAAAAGGCAUUUUACAAAAUUCAACAUCCAUUCAUGGUGAAAACUCAGUAAACUGGAAUAGGAGGAGGAGGUAAAUUCUCCAAUUGGAUAAUUUAUUUUUAAAAAACUGCAGCUAAGAGUGCAGACUUAAUUUUAUCUAACAUUUGAGAUCAAUGCAUGGAUGUCCACUUUCACCACUCUGAUUCAGAGUAGUAUUGGAAAUCCUAACUAGUGCAAUAAAGCAAGAAAAAGAAAUAAAAUUCAUACAAAUUGGGAAAAAGAUAAAACUGUCCCUAUUUGCCAAUGACAUGAUACUCUAUGUAGAAAAUCCUUACAACAAAUAUUUAAAAAUUCCUGGAGUAAGAAGCAAGAUCAUGGAAUGUCAGGUCAACAGCAAAAAUAAACCAUAUUUCUGUUUACUAGUAGUGAAAAAAAUGGAAACUAAAGUUAAAAUUCAAUAACAUUUACUUAGCUCCAAAACAAUGAAAUAGUUAAGUGUAAGUCUAAUAAAACAUGUAUAGGGUGUGUACCCAGAUGACCACAAAAUAUUAAUAAAAACGAAAGACCUAAAUAAAUGGCAAGAUACAGUGGCUUCACGGGUUGGAAGAAAAAAUACAUUAAAGAUGACAAUUUAGCCUAAAUUAUCUUCUAAUAGCAAUUCCUACCAACAUCCCAACAAGAUUAAUUUGUAGAUAUAGACAAACUGAUUUUUAAAUAUGUAUGGAAACAAAAAGAAACAAAACUAGUGAAAAGCUGGCAAAAGAGAACAAAGUCUGAGGGCACAACACUGUCUAAUAUGCCACAGCUGGAGUCCAAGAGACUGUGAUAUUCCACAGUUUGAUGGCUCUGAAUAAAGAAUACAGAAACAUUUUCACAUAAGCAGUCAACUAAUUUUUUUUAUAUUUUAUUUUUAGGGCUGCACCUGCAGCAUAUGGAGGUUUCCAGGCUAGAGGUCAAAUCAGAGCUGUAGUUGCUGGCCAACACCACAGCCACGGCAACGUGGGAUCCGAGCCACGUCUGCAACCUACACUACAGCUCACAGCAAUGGCAAAUCCUUAACCCACUGAGCAAGGCCAGGGGUUGAAUUGCAUCCUCACGGAUGCUAGUCAGAUUCACUUCCACUGAGCCAAGACAGAAACUCCUAAGCAGUCAACUAGUUUUUUUAAAAGGUACAAAAGCAACUCAAUAAAGAAAUGGUAGUCUUUUCAACAACUGAGUUUUGAACAACUGGACACUAAGGACAAAAUAAUAAUUAAACAAUAAAAUCUUAACUUGAAUUUCAUAUCUUAUACAAAAAUUAACUCCAAAUGGAUCAUAGAUCUAAAUAUAAAACGUAAAACUAAUAAAAACAAAACUUCUAGAGGGAAACGUGGAACAAAAGCUUUAGUCUUCAUGACUUAGGGUUAAACCAAGAGUUCUUAUGCAUGAUACCAAAAGCAGAAUCUGUAAAAUAAUAGUAAUAAUAAUUUUAAAAUAAAAAUAAAUAAAUCUGUUUAAAAAUGAUAGACUGGAGUUUAUCAAAAUGAAAAACUUUUUCUCUGAAAAAAGACCCUGAUAAGAGAUGGCCCACACACUGGAAGAAGAUAUUUAAAAAUCAUAUAUCUGACAAAGGAUUUAUAUAUAGAAUAUUUUUAAAGGUAUUUCAAACACUAAGAAAACAAAUAAUCCAAUUAUAGAAUGAACAAAAGACUUGAAAAACAAGUAUAUACAGAACCAAAAAGCACAUGAAAGGGUAUUAAACAUUAAUUAGUAGACAAAUGAAUAUUAAAACCAUGAUUAAAUACCACUACAUGCUUAUUAGAAUGUCUAAAAUACGAAAUAGUGACAAUUCCAAGCACUGACAAGAUGUACAAUCAACUGAAACUCUUAUACAUUAAAUGAACUAUAGGAUAGAUUUCAAAAGUAUUAUGCAGAAUGAGAAGUCAAUCUCAAAAAUUUGCAUGCUGUAUGAUUCUUAUUAUUCUUGAAAUGCCUACAUUAUAGUGAUGGAGAACAUAUUAGUGGCUGCCAGGUAUUAUGUUUGAAAGAGUGUGUAUCCAUAGAUAAGUGGCAAAAGGGAGUUUUGUUUUGAUAAUGGAACAGCUUUGUAUCUUAAUCAUGGUUGUGGUAACACACAUCUAUACACAAUAGUAUCUGAUAGAACUACACAAACACACACACACCCCUUGUGAAAUUCAACAAAUAUUUGUAGUUUAUUUAAUGGUAUUGCACCAAUGUCAAUUUCCUGGUUUUGAUCAUAUACUAUGGUUAUUAUCAUUGAUGAAAAUUGAAAGAAGUAUGCAUAAAAAUAUGUGUACUAUAUUUUCAAAUUUUCUGAGUACAAAAUUAUUUCAAAAUAAAGUAAAAACUAAAUAAAACCUCAAGUAAAGCUUCUUCAGAAUAUCUUAGGUUUUUACUGAUACUCUUGUCAAUGUCCACUGCCCAGAACCAGGGCAGUUUUCACAAUUCAAGCUAUUGGUACAGCAAUAUGUACUUUAAAGUACCAAAGUAUGUAUUAGUCACCUAUCUCUACAUAGAAAUACCCCAAAACUUAGCAUUUAAAAAAAGGUAUCAUCUCACACUGUCGCUUAGUGUUAAGAAUCGAAGGAAGGCUUAUCUGGGUAGUUCUGGCUCAGAAUUUCUCAUAAAACUCCAACUAAACUAUUGGCUAGAACUGCAGGUUAUAGUCACUGAUGAUCUGACUGAGCCUGAAAGUUCUGGAUUCCUUUGGAGGAGUUAUCCAAGAGAGAAUAAGAGAAUGCACCCAAGAAAGAAGCCACAAUGUUGUGGUAGCCUAACCACAGAAAUGAUAUCCCAUCACUUCUGCUAUAAUCUAUUUGUCCAACAUGGGUCACUAAGUCCAACUCAUACUCUAAAGGAAUAGAACUAAAUUCCACCAUUUGAUGGGAGGAAUAUCAAGGAAUUUGUGGAUAUAUCAUUACAACUACCACAAAGAAAGGAGAUUCUGUAUGUUUGCUGAGUGAACUCUAAAGUAAUUGUUUGUGUUCUGAUUUGUGCACAUGUGUAAUGAAACUAACCAUAGUCUGGGUGGUGGGAGGGGGGGAAGCAGAAAGCAUUAGGCCAAACAAUACCUCAAGUUCUGUGUAUUCCCACCAGCUAGAAGUGGAAGAACUUCAUAAUGACAGGGGCAUUUGACGGUGCUCUUAGAAAGUUAUCUGCUUACUAAUGGGACUAAGUCACUGCUGUAAUUAAAAUUGAAUUGAAUCUAGUCCAACGAGUCUUAAAAGUAAGCCUCAAAAUGAUCCCUAUGAUUUCAAGUAAUUGUCUACUAGGAUAAAGUCCACUGGAUUUAAAGAAAUAAUAAUAAGCAGCAAUGAUGCAAAAUUCUCAUUCUUUUGCAGCCAAUAAAAAUUCCAGAUAUGAAAAAAAGCAGAAAAAUGUUUCCCACAACAAAAAAGAAAAUAAAUUAGUAAAAAUAGAUCCAGACAUGAUACCGGAGUAAUAGAAAGAGCCAAAACAAUCAUUAAAACAGCUAUUGUAG